CUGGGGAAUUGAACCCAGGGCUUCAUGUAUAAGAGGCAAGCCCAGACUGCGAGACUUUUCUAGAAAGAUCUGGAUGGCACAGAUCUACCCACAGACAUGUGCUGUGACCCCAACUCCACCACAGAAGCCUCCCAAGGCUGCUCAGGGAGGGUGGCAGAGCCGCC
Long non-coding RNA from Perognathus longimembris pacificus (Pacific pocket mouse), 164 nucleotides. RefSeq lists it as uncharacterized. NCBI's taxonomy places the organism in Eukaryota, Metazoa, Chordata, Mammalia, Rodentia, Heteromyidae. The transcript is spliced from 3 exons. The record is from RefSeq and is a predicted model, not a curated record.